GGAUUAGGCUGCAAGUCGCACGAGAAAGGCUUCUUCGGAAGCCGAGUAAAGUGGCGAACGGGUGAGUAAUGCAUAGACAACUCGCCCUUGAGAUGGGGACAACGCCUCGAAAGGGGUGCUAAUACCCAAUGCCGCCUUGGGCCUGCGGGUCCAGGGUGAAAGGAGGCCUCUGAUUCAAGCUUCCGCUCAAGGAGAGGUUUAUGUCCUAUUAGCUAGUUGGCGGGGUAACGGCCCACCAAGGCUGCGAUGGGUAGCCGACCUGAGAGGGUGACCGGCCACAUUGGGACUGAGACACUGCCCAGACUCCUACGGGAGGCUGCAGUCGAGAAUCUUCCGCAAUGCGCGCAAGCGUGACGGAGCGACGCCGCGUGGGUGAUGAAGGCCUUCGGGUUGUAAAACCCUGUCAGCUACUACGAAACACGGGCGGUGAACAAUCGUCCCGUCUGACUUAAGUAGCAGAGGAAGCACCGGCUAACUACGUGCCAGCAGCCGCGGUAAUACGUAGGGUGCGAACGUUGUUCGGAAUCACUGGGCAUAAAGGGCGCGUAGGCGGUCUGAUAAGUCAGGUGUGAAAUCCCUCGGCCUAACCGAGGAACUGCAUUUGAUACUGUCGGGCUAGAGUACAGGAGGGGAGAGUGGAAUUCCUGGUGGAGCGGUGAAAUGCGUAGAUAUCAGGAGGAACGCCGGCGGCGAAAGCGACUCUCUGGCCUGUUACUGACGCUGAGGCGCGAAAGCUAGGGGAGCAAACGGGAUUAGAUACCCCGGUAGUCCUAGCCCUAAACGAUGGGCACUAAGUAGAGGGGUUUU
This 807-nucleotide ribosomal RNA is filed under the name uncultured Planctomycetota bacterium. RNAcentral describes it as "bacterial SSU rRNA". It matches the Rfam family "Bacterial small subunit ribosomal RNA", at positions 46 to 832 of the family's 1533-position model. Lineage: Bacteria; Pseudomonadati; Planctomycetota. The record is from RNAcentral.